UGAGGAAUAUUGCACAAUGGGCGCAAGCCUGAUGCAGCAACGCCGCGUGCGGGACGAAGGCCUUCGGGUCGUAAACCGCUUUUCUGGGGAAAGAGCAAGGACGGUACCUCAGGAAUAAGUCUCGGCUAACUACGUGCCAGCAGCCGCGGUAAAACGUAGGAGGCGAGCGUUAUCCGGAUUUACUGGGCGUAAAGCGCACGCAGGCGGCUCUGUGAGUCGGACGUGAAAGCUCCCGGCUUAACCGGGAGAGGCCGGUCGAUACUGCGGGGGUUGAGGUAGGGAGAGGAAUGGGGAAUUCCCGGUGUAGUGGUGGAAUGCGUAGGUAUCGGGGGGAACACCUGUGGCGAAAGCGGCAUUCUGGCCCUCACCUGACGCUGAGGUGCGAAAGCGUGGGUAGCAAAC
This 402-nucleotide ribosomal RNA is filed under the name uncultured bacterium. RNAcentral describes it as "bacterial SSU rRNA". It matches the Rfam family "Bacterial small subunit ribosomal RNA", at positions 355 to 773 of the family's 1533-position model. The record is from RNAcentral.